GAAUGCUGACAUAAGUAACGAUAAUGCGGGUGAAAAACCCGCACGCCGGAAGACCAAGGGUUCCUGUCCAACGUUAAUCGGGGCAGGGUGAGUCGACCCCUAAGGCGAGGCCGAAAGGCGUAGUCGAUGGGAAACAGGUUAAUAUUCCUGUACUUGGUGUUACUGCGAAGGGGGGACGGAGAAGGCUAUGUUAGCCGGGCGACGGUUGUCCCGGUUUAAGCAUGUAGGCGGAGGUUCCAGGUAAAUCCGGUACCUUUUUAACGCUGAGGUGUGAUGACGAGGCACUACGGUGCUGAAGUAACAAAUGCCCUGCUUCCAGGAAAAGCCUCUAAGCAUCAGGUAACACGAAAUCGUACCCCAAACCGACACAGGUGGUCAGGUAGAGAAUACCAAGGCGCUUGAGAGAACUCGGGUGAAGGAACUAGGCAAAAUGGUGCCGUAACUUCGGGAGAAGGCACGCUGAUAUGUAGGUGAAGUGAUUUACUCAUGGAGCUGAAAUCAGUCGAAGAUACCAGCUGGCUGCAACUGUUUAUUAAAAACACAGCACUGUGCAAACACGAAAGUGGACGUAUACGGUGUGACGCCUGCCCGGUGCCGGAAGGUUAAUUGAUGGGGUUAUCCGUAAGGAGAAGCUCUUGAUCGAAGCCCCGGUAAACGGCGGCCGUAACUAUAACGGUCCUAAGGUAGCGAAAUUCCUUGUCGGGUAAGUUCCGACCUGCACGAAUGGCGUAAUGAUGGCCAGGCUGUCUCCACCCGAGACUCAGUGAAAUUGAACUCGCUGUGAAGAUGCAGUGUACCCGCGGCAAGACGGAAAGACCCCGUGAACCUUUACUAUAGCUUGACACUGAACACUGGUCCUUGAUGUGUAGGAUAGGUGGGAGGCUUUGAAGUGUGGACGCCAGUCUGCAUGGAGCCAUCCUUGAAAUACCACCCUUUAAUGGCUGGUGUUCUAACGUGGACCCGUUACCCGGGUUGCGGACAGUGUCUGGUGGGUAGUUUGACUGGGGCGGUCUCCUCCUAAAGAGUAACGGAGGAGCACGAAGGUUAGCUAAUCUUGGUCGGACAUCAGGAGGUUAGUGCAAAGGCAUAAGCUAGCUUGACUGCGAGAGUGACGG
This 1115-nucleotide ribosomal RNA is filed under the name Citrobacter freundii. RNAcentral describes it as "partial 23S ribosomal RNA". It matches the Rfam family "Bacterial large subunit ribosomal RNA", at positions 1292 to 2387 of the family's 2925-position model. Lineage: Bacteria; Pseudomonadati; Pseudomonadota; Gammaproteobacteria; Enterobacterales; Enterobacteriaceae. The record is from RNAcentral.